Molecule: unclassified non-coding RNA, 253 nt
Filed under: Bacilli bacterium
Lineage: Bacteria; Bacillati; Bacillota; Bacilli
Description: contains 16S-23S intergenic spacer region
Rfam family: Bacterial small subunit ribosomal RNA
Source: RNAcentral
UACGUAGGUGACAAGCGUUGUCCGGAUUUAUUGGGCGUAAAGCGAGCGCAGGCGGUCUUUUAAGUCUGAUGUGAAAGCCCCCGGCUCAACCGGGGAGGGCCAUUGGAAACUGGGGAACUUGAGUACAGAAGAGGAAAGUGGAAUUCCAUGUGUAGCGGUGAAAUGCGUAGAUAUGUGGAGGAACACCAGUGGCGAAGGCGGCUCUCUGGUCUGUAACUGACGCUGAGGCGCGAAAGCGUGGGUAGCAAACAGG